This 387-nucleotide ribosomal RNA is filed under the name uncultured bacterium. RNAcentral describes it as "bacterial SSU rRNA". It matches the Rfam family "Bacterial small subunit ribosomal RNA", at positions 29 to 417 of the family's 1533-position model. The record is from RNAcentral.
AUUGAACGCUGGCGGAAUGCUUUACACAUGCAAGUCGAGCGGCAGCGCGGGGGCAACCCUGGCGGCGAGCGGCGAACGGGUGAGUAAUAUAUCGGAACGUACCCCGCCGUGGGGGAUAACACAGCGAAAGCUGUGCUAAUACCGCAUACGAUCUACGGAUGAAAGCGGGGGAUCGCAAGACCUCGCGCGAUUGGAGCGGCCGAUAUCAGAUUAGGUAGUUGGUGAGGUAAAGGCUCACCAAGCCGACGAUCUGUAGCUGGUCUGAGAGGACGACCAGCCACACUGGGACUGAGACACGGCCCAGACUCCUACGGGAGGCAGCAGUGGGGAAUUUUGGACAAUGGCGCAAGACCUGAUCCAGCAAUGCCGCGUGCAGGAUGAAGGCCU